Molecule: ribosomal RNA, 1338 nt
Filed under: metagenome
Description: bacterial LSU rRNA
Rfam family: Bacterial large subunit ribosomal RNA
Source: RNAcentral
UGACCAAAGCAAGUUGGUGGGUUAAUUGCCUAGAAAAGAUUUUUCAUAUGUCUUACUCGCCCGUACCGUAAACCGACACAGGUGGGUGAGUGUAAGUGCACUAAGGCGCGCGAGAGAGACCUCUCUAAGGAACUCGGCACAUUAGCCUCGUAACUUCGGGAAAAGAGGUGCUCACUUCGGUGAGCCACAGUAAAUUGCGUUUAGCGACUGUUUAACAAAAACACAGCACUCUGCUAAGUCGUUAAGACGACGUAUAGGGUGUGACACGUGACCAAUGCGGAAAGAUUAAGGCAUUUUGUUAGCCGCAAGGCGAAGCUCGGUGCCAAAGUCCCCGUGAAUGUCGGCCGUAACUAUAACGGUCCUAAGGUAGCGAAAUUCCUUGUCGGGUAAGUUCCGACCUGCACGAAUCGUGUAACGACUGAACGACUGUCUCGGAGAGGAUCUCGGCGAAACUGUAACUGCGGUGAAGAUGCCGCAUGCCCGCAGUAGGACGGAAAGACCCUAUGCACCUUUACUGUAAGCUGGUAUUGUGUUCUGAUUAAUAAUGCGUAGCGUAGGUGGGAGGCUUUGAAGUGAGUGCUUCGGUGCUCAUGGAGCCGCAAUGUGAAACAUCACUCUUUGCUAAUUAGGAUUCUAACCUCGAUUCCUGUCAACCAGGCGAGGGACAGUGCUUGCGGGUCAGUUUGACUGGGGCGGUUUCCUCCCAAAGAGUAACGGAGGAGCGCGAAGCUUGGCUCAGCACGGUUGGCAACCGUGCGUCGAGCGUAUGGGUAUAAGCCAGGUUAACUGUGAGACCUACAAGUCGAGCAGAUGCGAAAGCAGGCCCAAAUGAUCCGAUGGUUUAAUGUGGAAUUGCCAUCGCUCAACGGACAAAAGGUACGCUAGGGAUAACAGGCUGAUCGGUUCCAAGAGUUCACAUCGACGAACCGGUUUGGCACCUCGAUGUCGGCUCAUCGCAUCCUGGGGCUGGAGAAGGUCCCAAGGGUCCGGCUGUUCGCCGGUUAAAGCGGUACGCGAGCUGGGUUCAGAACGUCGUGAGACAGUUCGGUCCUUAUCCACUGUGGGCGCAAAUCUUGAGGGGUUCAUUCUCUAGUACGAGAGGACCGAGAAUGACGCACUUCUGGUGUGGCAGUUGUUCCAUCAGGGGCAUCGCUGCGUAGCCAUGUGCGGAAGAGAUAAGCGCUGAAAGCAUCUAAGUGCCAAGCUCAUCCCAUGAUAUGGAUUCCCGGACGCAAGUCCCUAAAGACCCCCGGCAGACUACCGGGUUGAUAGGUCAGGCAUGUAAGCGUCGCGAGAUGUUAAGUGGACUGAUACUAAUUGGUCGUGCGGCUUGAUCGC